GAGGCUAUACCUCCGUGGAGGAGUGCAUGCCUGACAUGCAUGAGGUCCUGGGUUCAACCCCCAGGAACUCCA
This 72-nucleotide transfer RNA is filed under the name Camelus bactrianus (Bactrian camel). It matches the Rfam family "tRNA". Rfam says of the family: Transfer RNA (tRNA) molecules are approximately 80 nucleotides in length. The record is from Rfam by way of RNAcentral. RNAcentral also lists the same sequence under 2 other names. Lineage: Eukaryota; Metazoa; Chordata; Mammalia; Artiodactyla; Camelidae.